Molecule: ribosomal RNA, 253 nt
Filed under: uncultured bacterium
Lineage: Bacteria
Description: partial 16S ribosomal RNA
Rfam family: Bacterial small subunit ribosomal RNA
Source: RNAcentral
UACGUAGGGGGCAAGCGUUGUCCGGAAUCAUUGGGCGUAAAGAGCGUGUAGGCGGUCCGGUAAGUCCGCUGUGAAAGUCGGGGGCUCAACCCUCGAAUGCCGGUGGAUACUGUCGGGCUAGAGUGCGGAGGAGGCGAGUGGAAUUCCUGGUGUAGCGGUGAAAUGCGCAGAUAUCAGGAGGAACACCUAUUGCGAAGGCAGCUCGCUGGGACGUUACUGACGCUGAGACGCGAAAGCGUGGGGAGCGAACAGG